This 319-nucleotide ribosomal RNA is filed under the name uncultured eukaryote. RNAcentral's name for it is "partial 18S ribosomal RNA". It matches the Rfam family "Eukaryotic small subunit ribosomal RNA", at positions 1470 to 1796 of the family's 1831-position model. The record is from RNAcentral.
CCCUUAGAUGUUCUGGGCUGCACGCGCGCUACACUGACGCACGCAACAGGUGCCUGCUCCGAGAGGACUGGGUAAUCAUUUGAGUGUGCGUCGUGAUGGGGAUAGAAUAUUGUAAUUAUUACUCUUCAACGAGGAAUUCCUAGUAAGCGCCAGUCAGCAGCUUGCGCUGAUUACGUCCCUGCCCUUUGUACACACCGCCCGUCGCUCCUACCGAUUGAAUGUUCCGGUGAGCUCUUCGGACUGCGCGGUCUGCAGUUUCUGCGUUCCGUGCGGAAAGUUGUGCAAACCUUAACAUUUAGAGGAAGGAGAAGUCGUAACA